UUUUCACUUCAGUCGUCGAUUUCAUUCGUACGGUUACCGGUAGCUUGUCUCGGUAUUUCGUGAUUCCAGAAAAAGGAUAGAACACACAGACGCCAUGUGAUUAUUAAUGGACAAUCUGAUGAAUUUUGAUGGAAAGUUGGCAACAUUUUAUUCAUUUGGAUAACAUUUGAUUUAUCAAUGGAUCCAUGUGGACGGAUAAAAGAUGGAAUAACAAGGAUUGUGGAAUUUAAGGAUAAUGUCUGGAUCCUGCCUAAUGGUAUCACAGGUAUAGUCCAGUAAUCUGCCACUUUGUUCGAAUCCCACGCUGAGCACGGGCUGAAUUAUCGAAAUUCCACUAUACAAAUCGAGAUUUACCUUGUAACGCACGCACUUAGUAAGUAUCAGCUCGGCAUUUUCUAACUACAACAUC
Frieseomelitta varia is the source of this 409-nucleotide long non-coding RNA. RefSeq lists it as uncharacterized. Lineage: Eukaryota; Metazoa; Arthropoda; Insecta; Hymenoptera; Apidae. The record is from RefSeq and is a predicted model, not a curated record. The transcript is spliced from 4 exons.